UACGUAGGUGGCAAGCGUUGUCCGGAUUUAUUGGGCGUAAAGAGCGUGUAGGCGGCCAUACAGGUCCGUUGUGAAAACUGGAGGCUUAACCUCCAGACGUCGAUGGAAACCGUAUGGCUAGAGUCCGGAAGAGGAGAGUGGAAUUCCUGGUGUAGCGGUGAAAUGCGCAGAUAUCAGGAAGAACACCCGUGGCGAAGGCGGCUCUCUGGGACGGUACUGACGCUGAGGCGCGAAAGCUAGGGGAGCAAACAGG
RNAcentral lists this ribosomal RNA (253 nucleotides) under uncultured bacterium. Its description in RNAcentral is "partial 16S ribosomal RNA". It matches the Rfam family "Bacterial small subunit ribosomal RNA", at positions 524 to 776 of the family's 1533-position model. The record is from RNAcentral.